GCGUGGAGCCGACCUUGAAAUACCACCCUUUAAUGUUUGAUGUUCUAACGUGGAUCCGUAAUCCGGGUUGCGGACAGUGUCUGGUGGGUAGUUUGACUGGGGCGGUCUCCUCCUAAAGAGUAACGGAGGAGCACGAAGGUUGGCUAAUCCUGGUCGGACAUCAGGAGGUUAGUGCAAUGGCAUAAGCCAGCUUGACUGCGAGCGUGACGGCGCGAGCAGGUGCGAAAGCAGGUCAUAGUGAUCCGGUGGUUCUGAAUGGAAGGGCCAUCGCUCAACGGAUAAAAGGUACUCCGGGGAUAACAGGCUGAUACCGCCCAAGAGUUCAUAUCGACGGCGGUGUUUGGCACCUCGAUGUCGGCUCAUCACAUCCUGGGGCUGAAGUAGGUCCCAAGGGUAUGGCUGUUCGCCAUUUAAAGUGGUACGCGAGCUGGGUUUAGAACGUCGUGAGACAGUUCGGUCCCUAUCUGCCGUGGGCGCUGGAGAACUGAGGGGGGCUGCUCCUAGUACGAGAGGACCGGAGUGGACGCAUCACUGGUGUUCGGGUUGUCAUGCCAAUGGCACUGCCCGGUAGCUAAAUGCGGAAGAGAUAAGUGCUGAAAGCAUCUAAGCACGAAACUUGCCCCGAGAUGAGUUCUCCCUGAGACUUAGAGUCUCCUGAAGGAACGUUGAAGACGACGACGUUGAUAGGCCGGGUGUGUAAGCGCAGCGAUGCGUUGAGCUAACCGGUACUAAUGAACCGUGAGGCUUAACCUUACAACGCCGAAG
RNAcentral lists this ribosomal RNA (765 nucleotides) under Salmonella enterica subsp. enterica serovar Infantis. Its description in RNAcentral is "partial 23S ribosomal RNA". It matches the Rfam family "Bacterial large subunit ribosomal RNA", at positions 2178 to 2925 of the family's 2925-position model. The record is from RNAcentral. Lineage: Bacteria; Pseudomonadati; Pseudomonadota; Gammaproteobacteria; Enterobacterales; Enterobacteriaceae.